CUUAUCUCUUGCAAGUGCACAAUGUCUCUCUCUCUGUGUGUGUGUGUGUGUGUGUGUGGAUUCUGGGAAAUGUAGUUCGUGACGAGGAGUGACCGUGUUAUACAUUUACUUUGGCUGCAUGUUUUUGUUUGGCUUCUGAAGUAGAGCAAAGACUUGUGUAUUAUUAUUCCCUGAUCUAAUAACCUAUUCUUUCAUUGAUAAAAGCACUGGUUUUUAUACCGAAAUGCCAUGUGUCUUUUCAAGUAUAGAUGAAAGUGAAAGUAAUUUUCCUGGCUUAAUAUAGAGCUGCUCUCAGAAGACAAGACAUUCCCUGAAAAACUUUCAGAAAAAGCUAUAGGGACAGUAAAAAUAAAUAGACAUAUUUAUUAUUUAUCAAUGGAUAAAGAGGAUCAGUUUGAAUUUAAGGCCACAGAGAUCCCUCAAAAGCCAUGCACAGACAUGCUGAAGGAGGCCUAUCUGAACCUGCUCUCUCUGCGCCUGGAAUUCCAGCGUGAACAGAGCACUCCGGAGGAAGGAGCUUUCCAAACGAAUCUGGUUAAUAAAGAGAAAGACCUCAGUCUGCUCUAUGGAGCACAAAAUGUUUGUUAUUGUACACAGCUCCAGUGCUCUGCCCUCACGCAAUAAAGAUCUGCUGGUGUAUGUAGCACACAUUAUCCUGGAGGAAGAGAAGAGGCAGGGAGAGCCAGGAGCGAUGCAGGGAUGGAGGGAAGCAUGGAGGGAUGCAGUACUAAACGGGGUUCAAGAUACACUGGAGAAAGUUCAUCUGGACAGCCAUGAGCAGAACGCUUCCUGGCUGGCAGUGCAUCUGGGGCUUCUGGGUAAAGCUGUGGAGGAGGAUUUAGAGAGAGUGAAGACUGAACAUCAGACUUUAUUGUGUUUGAAACCUAUGUGUCCUGCUAUCAUGAGGCUGUAGGAGAGCAUCUAAAGAGACUUCUGGAAAAGGUGAUAGAGUGAAAGAUUACUAUGCUCUUCUAGAGUUCAUUAUUCAUCGCUACCCCAUUGAUCUGAGAGUCCAUGAGAGUGCCCUUAUAAUGGCAGAGGACCGGAACAAAAUAAAAACUUCUUACUGUGAUUGCCAAUUGAGAUAUGCUCUCUUCUUCAAAUGUGCUUGUGUCUGGGGAUGAAAUCAAACCCGAGCUUGUGUCGCUCCCUGUGCUGUCAGAGAGAAAGAUCAUGAUUGAGAGUCACCACUGAGAGCUGAACUGCAUUAUGGGUAAGAACAAACAGAAUUGGCAACAAAGUGUAGCCCUCAAUUCCCAAUGUGUCUCAUUUGAUUCAGUUUUAUCUUGAUGGUGCAGUUUUAAAAAUCAAUAAUACCACAAGAAGAUAAAUUGACCUAGAUUGAUCCAGAGCAGGCAGAUUCUCACUUCGUGACUUACUUUUCAUUCAGUUACCCAGAGGCAGUAUAUCUUCUGAUUUGAGUUUUUAUAUGUUGUCUGACUGGAUCCCUUUCAUGUAAAAGUAUAAAUGUUGUUUGACUGCUGAAUAUGCCACUAUGCUCCCGAAAUGAAUAUAAAUUAACAAGACCUAAGCCUCAACCUCA
Cyprinus carpio carpio is the source of this 1543-nucleotide long non-coding RNA. The record is from Ensembl. NCBI's taxonomy places the organism in Eukaryota, Metazoa, Chordata, Actinopteri, Cypriniformes, Cyprinidae.